GAUGAAGAACGUAGCGAAAUGCGAUAAGUAGUGUGAAUUGCAGAAUUCCGUGAAUCAUCGAAUCUUUGAACGCACAUUGCGCCUUCUGGUAUUCCGGAAGGCAUGCCUGUUCGAGAGUCAUUAACAACCGUUUCGAUCCCUUUCUUUCAGAAAUUACAAAGAGGAAAAGGGUUUGGUUAUGGUGGAGGAGGGAAAGGGAGCGUUUAGCCUGUAAAAAAAGAGGCUGUGUUCCGCCUCCCCCCCAAAAUUGUACAGGCGGUCGUGUGCGCCCAUGCAUCGAGGUGUUGUAAAAGCUGCCACGGCACUUUUCACCUGUGCAGUGCGAGAUUGGCCAGCCGGUUUAAAAACCCCUCCAAACAAUCAAAGGUUGACCUCGGAUCAGGUAGGGAUACCCGCUGAACUUAAGCAUAUCAAUAAGCGGAGGA
This 425-nucleotide unclassified non-coding RNA is filed under the name soil metagenome. RNAcentral describes it as "partial contains 5.8S ribosomal RNA, internal transcribed spacer 2, and large subunit ribosomal RNA". The stretch from base 1 to 120 matches the Rfam family "5.8S ribosomal RNA", at positions 35 to 154 of the family's 154-position model. The record is from RNAcentral.